CGGUCGGCAGGCGAUCCGCGUCGGUCGUGCGAGGGUGGUAUGGUUCCCCCAGAGGCCGGUUCUUGUGCUGCCUACCCCUUCAGGGGAAUCGGGCCACUUGAUGUAAGCCUCCAUCCGGCGCCUUCCAACGGGCGCAGGAGGACAACAGGGCACCCCCCGCGUUCCACCGAUCCUCUUCGGUCGCGUGGCCCGCGGGGACGUGCGACGCUCUCGGACCCAGCGAACGCCGUGGGCGAGGACUCACGUCCCAGUCCCGAAAAGAAGCUCCGAUNUANNGCAAGACGGCCGCUCCCGCCCCCCCGGGGGCGAGGCGCGGCGUCGCAGAGGAAUGCUA
This 334-nucleotide unclassified non-coding RNA is filed under the name Acacia koa. Its description in RNAcentral is "contains external transcribed spacer and 18S ribosomal RNA". Lineage: Eukaryota; Viridiplantae; Streptophyta; Magnoliopsida; Fabales; Fabaceae. The record is from RNAcentral.